CACCCUCAUGAACAUCGCCGAUGCCCCCACCAACGUGCAGCUCCCAGGCAUGUACAACAAGGAGGAGAACCCUCGUGUGCCCAUCGUCGUCACUGGUAACGAUUUCUCGACGUUGUACGCCCCUCUGAUCCGUGAUGGCCGUAUGGAGAAGUUCUACUGGGCUCCCACCCGCGACGACCGUAUCGGUGUCUGCAAGGGUAUCUUCCAGACCGACAAUGUCAGCGACGAGUCCGUCGUCAAGAUCGUCGACACCUUCCCAGGACAAUCCAUCGGUAUGUUCCUCACAACUGCACUGCAGAGAUAAUAUUCAUCAGGGCAAUCAAGUUGUAUAGUAGUAUUAACAAAGGAUCGUCGAUCCUACACAGACUUUUUCGGUGCUCUGCGUGCUCGGGUGUACGACGACGAGGUGCGCAAGUGGGUGACCUCUACCGGUAUCGAGAACAUUGGCAAGAGGCUGGUGAACUCGCGGGACGGACCCGUGACCUUUGAGCAGCCAAAGAUGACAGUGGAGAAGCUGCUAGAGUACGGGCACAUGCUUGUCCAGGAGCAGGACAAUGUCAAGCGUGUGCAGCUUGCUGACACCUACAUGAGCCAGGCAGCUCUGGGUGAUGCUAACCAGGAUGCGAUGAAGACUGGUUCCUUCUACGGUUAGAACAUUCUCCAUACACACCCACCAUCUCUUGCUGCAUAGGAGGAGGUGAACUACGCACAAUCCUUUUAUACUUUCAGCACCUACUUUACAUACAUACUUACUUCUCACUUGCUUACUUCUCUGAAACAAAAGAGUGAAUCAUAAACAAACAGUGGAGGCCUAUUUCUUCUUACCUGUUCUUAUAGCAUAGCAAGCUCAUCUUCUCAUCAGAUCGUCCAAAACAAUUGAAUUGCAGGUAAAGGGGCACAGCAAGGUACUUUGCCUGUACCGGCAGGAUGCACCGACCAGACUGCCAAGAACUUCGACCCAACGGCGAGGAGUGACGACGGGAGCUGCCUUUACACCUUUUAAGCAUGCCAAUUUAAUAUCUGAUGUUUUAUCCUUUGUACCUAAGUACCGCAUCGCAUCCAAGCGAUUGCUGGGCAUGUUUUGUUAAUAUAAAAAGAUAUUGAGUAUACCUAUUUGGUAAAGACAAAUAGAACUACUUAUCAUUUGUCACUCUCUGUAUUCAUUCCUUCAGUGGAGACUGCUUCUGCUUUAUUGCAAACAGAACAAAAAAGUACUAAUUUGCGCUUCAGCUUAUUAAUUAUUGUUG
Molecule: long non-coding RNA, 1247 nt
Filed under: Triticum aestivum (bread wheat)
Lineage: Eukaryota; Viridiplantae; Streptophyta; Magnoliopsida; Poales; Poaceae
Description: long non-coding RNA (TAES_LNC003047)
Source: RNAcentral